AGAUUGAACGCUGGCGGCAGGCCUAACACAUGCAAGUCGAGCGGUAGAGAGGUGCUUGCAUCUCUUGAGAGCGGCGGACGGGUGAGUAAUGCCUAGGAAUCUGCCUAGUGGUGGGGGAUAACGUUCGGAAACGGACGCUAAUACCGCAUACGUCCUACGGGAGAAAGGCGGGGGACCUUCGGGCCUCGCGCCAUUAGAUGAGCCUAGGUCGGAUUAGCUAGUUGGUGAGGUAAUGGCUCACCAAGGCGACGAUCCGUAACUGGUCUGAGAGGAUGAUC
Molecule: ribosomal RNA, 278 nt
Filed under: uncultured soil bacterium
Lineage: Bacteria
Description: partial 16S ribosomal RNA
Rfam family: Bacterial small subunit ribosomal RNA
Source: RNAcentral